GUGCCAGCCGCCGCGGUAAUACAGGGGGGGCAAGCGUUGUACGGAAUUACUGGGCGUAAAGGGCUCGUAGGCGGCCAACUAAGUCCGACGUGAAAUCCCAAAGCUUAACUUUGGAACUGCGUCGGAUACUGGAUGGCUUGAAUUCGGGAGAGGGAUGCAGAAUUCCAGGUGUAGCGGUGAAAUGCGUAGAUAUCUGGAGGAAUACCGGUGGCGAAGGCGGCAUCCUGGACCGACAUUGACGCUGAGGAGCGAAAGCUAGGGGAGCAAACGGGAUUAGAUACCCGCGUAGUCC
Molecule: ribosomal RNA, 292 nt
Filed under: uncultured bacterium
Lineage: Bacteria
Description: partial 16S ribosomal RNA
Rfam family: Bacterial small subunit ribosomal RNA
Source: RNAcentral